AAAGUGCGAUACGCGGUGCGACACGCGCGAACUGUGAGUCAUCGGAUCUUUGAACGCAACUUGCGCCCCUCGGGGCAUGUCUGCCUGAGCCGGCACAAACCGUGGGAAACCGCGCUGGGGACGCGUCCCCGAAACGCGUGUCUGGGCGCGCUGGGCUGCGACUCGUCACGCAGCGCGCCCGCUGCUUGCCGCUCAGACAGACAGGACCACCCGCUGGACUUAA
Molecule: unclassified non-coding RNA, 223 nt
Filed under: uncultured Corticiaceae
Lineage: Eukaryota; Fungi; Basidiomycota; Agaricomycetes; Corticiales; Corticiaceae
Description: sequence contains ITS1
Rfam family: 5.8S ribosomal RNA (bases 1-94)
Source: RNAcentral